This 861-nucleotide small RNA is filed under the name Arabidopsis thaliana (thale cress). RNAcentral describes it as "ATSL106130". Lineage: Eukaryota; Viridiplantae; Streptophyta; Magnoliopsida; Brassicales; Brassicaceae. The record is from RNAcentral.
CAAAUCUCUUUUGCUUACCUUCGAUGAAUAUAAGCUAUAACAAAGGAUUUUCAGGUUUUAGACGGAUUUGGAAUUGGAAUUCUCUGGCCUUGGACUAUGUCAAGAUCUUACCCGUACGAACCUACUUGGUGUGAAGAAAACCAAGCAGUGCUUUUGGAAUUUAUCGUGUAUGUGUUGGAUCUGACUUGGAUUAGAGCUAAUGGUGAAUAUAUAAAGAAGAUGAACACAAGAGUUUCGUCUUCGUUGACGUACGAGAGAAAGAUUAAAGCCAAUCAUUUUGAGUUUUCUAAAUAAAUUUGUUUUUCUGAAUUCUGACACUUAGUUUCUUUAGUCAAAUUACUUUUGAAAAAAUGUAAAAGCAUCACUUUGUUUAACCGAAUUGUCAAUUUUUUGAAGAUUAAAACUGAUUAUUUCUAACCUUUUUUCUUCAUUAGGUUUCUAGGGUUUUUGUUGCUUUAGGGAUUUCUAGAAUUGGAGAUUUUUAGAAUUGGGGAACUUUGGGGGUUAACGGGUACUAAUUCGGGUUGGUUUAUGGGUAAAUCCGGUUUUGAAGUUUUUAUUUAUCGGUUAAUGUUGUUUCCGGUACAGUAAACCAAUAAUAAACAACGAAAUUAAAAAAUAUGGGGACCGAGAUCUUUAACUUUCGUUUUAGGGGGAAACUGGAGUUUAACUUUCGUUUCAUGUGGACUGGAAACGAGAUCUGAAAUCUGUGUAGAUAUGGUCAUAUAUGAAACUUGUUAGGGGAACACAUGUCGUUCACCCAAAAAUAAAAUAAAAAAGAAGCACAUAUCGAGGAUCAAACCUCAGAAGGUUAAGAUUAGCAUGGGGUAACAGUUACCAACAAAGCUAUAAACAUCUUAU